AUGAAGAAUUCGGGAGAGAACGCGAAUGCGUCGCCGAAGGGGAACUCGCAAAAGCUCUCAGGCAAAAGUACCGGAUUCCGACG
RNAcentral lists this non-coding RNA (83 nucleotides) under Papillibacter cinnamivorans. RNAcentral describes it as "Glycine sequence". It matches the Rfam family "Glycine riboswitch aptamer". Rfam says of the family: This family represents the bacterial glycine riboswitch. Glycine riboswitches usually consist of two metabolite-binding aptamers domains with similar structures in tandem. RNAcentral also lists the same sequence under 1 other name. The record is from RNAcentral. Lineage: Bacteria; Bacillati; Bacillota; Clostridia; Eubacteriales; Oscillospiraceae.